UACGUAGGGAGCAAGCGUUGUCCGGAUUUACUGGGUGUAAAGGGUGCGUAGGCGGCAAAGCAAGUCAGAUGUGAAAUGUAUGGGCUCAACCCAUGACCUGCAUUUGAAACUGUUUUGCUUGAGUGAAGUAGAGGUAGGCGGAAUUCCCUGUGUAGCGGUGAAAUGCGUAGAGAUAGGGAGGAACACCAGUGGCGAAGGCGGCCUACUGGGCUUUAACUGACGCUGAGGCACGAAAGCGUGGGUAGCAAACAGGAUUAGAUACCCUGGUAGUCCACGCUGUAAACGAUGAUUACUAGGUGUGGGGGGUCUGACCCCUUCCGUGCCGCAGUUAACACAAUAAGUAAUCCACCUGGGGAGUACGGCCGCAAGGUUGAA
Molecule: ribosomal RNA, 375 nt
Filed under: uncultured bacterium
Lineage: Bacteria
Description: bacterial SSU rRNA
Rfam family: Bacterial small subunit ribosomal RNA
Source: RNAcentral